ACGCUGGCUACAGGCUUAACACAUGCAAGUCGAGGGGAAACGGCGUUGAGUGCUCGCACUCUUCGGACGUCGACCGGCGCACGGGUGAGUAACGCGUAUCCAACCUUCCCGUCACUGCGGGAUAACCUGCCGAAAGGCAGACUAAUACCGCAUGGCCUUCACUGACGGCAUCAGAGGUGAAGUAAAGCUUUUUAGCGGUGACGGACGGGGAUGCGUCUGAUUAGCUGGUUGGCGGGGCGACGGCCCACCAAGGCGACGAUCAGUAGGGGUUCUGAGAGGAAGGUCCCCCACAUUGGAACUGAGACACGGUCCAAACUCCUACGGGAGGCAGCAGUGAGGAAUAUUGGUCAAUGGGCGGAAGCCUGAACCAGCCAAGUAGCGUGCAGGAGGACGGCCCUACGGGUUGUAAACUGCUUUUAUGCGGGGAUAAAGUGAGGGACGCGUCCCUUUUUGCAGGUACCGCAUGAAUAAGGACCGGCUAAUUCCGUGCCAGCAGCCGCGGUAAUACGGAAGGUCCGGGCGUUAUCCGGAUUUAUUGGGUUUAAAGGGAGCGUAGGCCGGGGAUUAAGUGUGUUGUGAAAUGUAGGCGCUCAACGUCUGAUGUGCAGCGCAUACUGGUCCCCUUGAGUACGCGCAACGCCGGCGGAAUUCGUCGUGUAGCGGUGAAAUGCUUAGAUAUGACGAAGAACCCCGAUUGCGAAGGCAGCCGGCGGGAGCGCAACUGACGCUGAAGCUCGAAGGUGCGGGUAUCGAACAGGAUUAGAUACCCUGGUAGUCCGCACGGUAAACGAUGGAUGCCCGCUCUCGGCGCCUGGCGCCGGGGGCCAAGCGAAAGCGUUAAGCAUCCCACCUGGGGAGUACGCCGGCAACGGUGAAACUCAAAGGAAUUGACGGGGGCCCGCACAAGCGG
Molecule: ribosomal RNA, 910 nt
Filed under: uncultured bacterium
Lineage: Bacteria
Description: bacterial SSU rRNA
Rfam family: Bacterial small subunit ribosomal RNA
Source: RNAcentral